This 225-nucleotide ribosomal RNA is filed under the name Klebsiella pneumoniae. RNAcentral describes it as "partial 23S ribosomal RNA". It matches the Rfam family "Bacterial large subunit ribosomal RNA", at positions 2718 to 2925 of the family's 2925-position model. Lineage: Bacteria; Pseudomonadati; Pseudomonadota; Gammaproteobacteria; Enterobacterales; Enterobacteriaceae. The record is from RNAcentral.
GGGUUGUCAUGCCAAUGGCACUGCCCGGUAGCUAAAUGCGGAAGAGAUAAGUGCUGAAAGCAUCUACGCACGAAACUUGCCCUGAGAUGAGUUCUCCCUGAGACUUUAAGUCUCCUGAAGGAACGUUAACGACGAUGACGUUGAUAGGCCGGGUGUGUCCGCACAGCGAUGCGUUGAGCUAACCGGUACUAAUGAACCGUGAGGCUUAACCUUACAACGCCGAAG